This 518-nucleotide ribosomal RNA is filed under the name uncultured fungus. RNAcentral describes it as "SSU rRNA". It matches the Rfam family "Eukaryotic small subunit ribosomal RNA", at positions 214 to 732 of the family's 1831-position model. Lineage: Eukaryota; Fungi. The record is from RNAcentral.
AUUAAAAACCAAUGCCCUUCGGGGCUCUCUGGUGAUUCAUAAUAACUUCUCGAAUCGCACGGCCUUGCGCCGGCGAUGGUUCAUUCAAAUUUCUGCCCUAUCAACUUUCGACGGCUGGGUCUUGGCCAGCCGUGGUGACAACGGGUAACGGAGGGUUAGGGCUCGACCCCGGAGAAGGAGCCUGAGAAACGGCUACUACAUCCAAGGAAGGCAGCAGGCGCGCAAAUUACCCAAUCCCGACACGGGGAGGUAGUGACAAUAAAUACUGAUACAGGGCUCUUUCGGGUCUUGUUAUUGGAAUGAGUACAAUUUAAAUCCCUUAACGAGGAACAAUUGGAGGGCAAGUCUGGUGCCAGCAGCCGCGGUAAUUCCAGCUCCAAUAGCGUAUAUUAAAGUUGUUGAGGUUAAAAAGCUCGUAGUUGAACCUUGGGCCUAGCCGGCCGGUCCGCCUCACCGCGUGCACUGGCUCGGCUGGGUCUUUCCUUCUGGAGAACCGCAUGCCCUUCACUGGGUGUGCC